This 469-nucleotide long non-coding RNA is filed under the name Gossypium raimondii (Peruvian cotton). Its description in RNAcentral is "long non-coding RNA (GRAI_LNC011274)". Lineage: Eukaryota; Viridiplantae; Streptophyta; Magnoliopsida; Malvales; Malvaceae. The record is from RNAcentral.
CUGUUUUAGGCACAUAGCAUGAAUACAAACUAGCGGUUAAGUUAAAGCUGUCUUUGUCUAAAUUUGUAACUAUAUUAUUGGGGUAAAAUUACAACGAACAACAGAUUAUUGGGUCAAUAAAUGUUUCAGUUCCUCGAAAACAUCAUUCGUGUUGUAAACCAUUGUUUUGUGCAUUUUAUGUAUGUAUAUGGAAGAUGAAUAUCAUUGCUGAGACACUUGGUGCAGAUUACUGCAAUUUCAAAGUAAACUAAACGGUCGCUAUAUGAUUAUAAGAUCUGCCCAAGGACGACCAGACGGGAGGCACGGACUUCGCAAAUGUCCAGAGCUUCCUUUACUGAUAAGGGAAGCUAAAGUGGUGAGGUUAAGAGAUUGGAUUAAACCUACAAGGUCUCACUAUUUGGUAGGAAUAUAUUUACCUAUCAAUGAUAAACUCUUCUCGUGAUUUCAUUUAUCUAGAUUUUCUACAAGA